CGUCACUUCUGUCUUGAUUAGUUAAAAGAUAGAACAGUCUAGCCAAGUGCCAUGUCUCUUAUUCUUGAUCAGCUAUAGCUCUGGAGUUUUUGCAGAUUUUCAAAUAAAACUCAGAGAUUCCUUGUAUGACUCUCUAAAUCUCUCUUUUGUGGUAUUUCUGGAUCCUUACCAAGGCAGUGAUGGUAUAUGCCUUCUCUCAAGAUAUGUGGUAUUUGUAGUAUAAGGCAUAGUGACAUUGCCUUCUCUCUCACCCUACUCUAAUAAGGCUUUAAUAUCUGGAGCUCAUAGGUGGGAGACAGCUAAUACAUACUUACAAGACAUUUAUUGCAUAGUCAAACCAUGGAUCCAGAGAAACAAGUCAAUAAGUCAAAUCAAGAUGUGCAUGUGUGGUGAAUGAAUGGUGUAUGGUGAUGAUGGUGAUAACAAUGGUGGAAGUCUAAUUCUACUUUUGCUCUUUUGAGGGGAUACAUACCUUCCUUGCUUUUUGAAACUUUAUGAGGAGAAUGAGAUGCUCUUCUUUUUCUUUUCUCUCAGGUGGGUAUCUUGUACCCCUAAUUCUACUGUCGGACACUUGUCCAUUUUUACCUCUCGUCUCACUCUUUUUCUUUUCUUUCGAGGUUCUGGGCACUUGCCCCUUUUUAUGUCCUCGUAUAUUUUUUCUCUCCUCUUUUUUUUAGAGCACUCAUCUCAUGAGAUAAUACAGCAAGUGGUAGUAACAAGAUAACUUGAGCAUUUAUUUCACAAGGAAAAACAGAAAUAUUUUUGGUUAUUCUCUCCCGGAUUAGGAGUAGAAUAUUUUUGGGUGGUUCUGGAGAUGGACAUGGAUGGAUAUAUGUGGAUGGUACUCCCGGAGUAGAAGUAGCAUAUAUGAGUGAACGUGCAAGUGAAUCUUGAUUUAACCACAUGACAAGCUCCUAAGGGUCUACAUAGCUUGACCAUACUCAAUGCUCAUAAGCAGUAAAAAGUAAAUGUGUGGCUCAAAGUCUAGCAAGCAUGUAUAUAUGGCUGUGGUAGGAAUUUAAAUUUUCAUCAUACAGGAACUCAUCAUGCAAUAUUUUAAAGAUUUUUCAAAGAUAAAAUUCUCUAUAAUUCUAGCAUCUCUAGGAACAGAUAAACAACAGCUCAACCUUCCCAUAUCAUAUCCGUUAACAACAUAGAUUUCAGAUCAAGUUUUCAUCCCACAAGUUUAGAUCUAGAGCAAGCUUUAAAUUAUAACAGUUAUGUCUAAACUUGAGAGAGAACUUCAAAU
This 1249-nucleotide long non-coding RNA is filed under the name Sorghum bicolor (sorghum). RNAcentral's name for it is "long non-coding RNA (SBIC_LNC014473)". The record is from RNAcentral. Lineage: Eukaryota; Viridiplantae; Streptophyta; Magnoliopsida; Poales; Poaceae.